This 351-nucleotide ribosomal RNA is filed under the name uncultured bacterium. Its description in RNAcentral is "bacterial SSU rRNA". It matches the Rfam family "Bacterial small subunit ribosomal RNA", at positions 8 to 350 of the family's 1533-position model. The record is from RNAcentral.
AGAGUUUGAUCCUGGCUCAGGAUGAACGCUAGCUACAGGCUUAACACAUGCAAGUCGAGGGGCAGCAUGGUCUUAGCUUGCUAAGGCCGAUGGCGACCGGCGCACGGGUGAGUAACGCGUAUCCAACCUGCCUUACACUCUUGGACAGCCUUCUGAAAGGGAGAUUAAUACAAGAUGUUAUCAUGAGUAAGCAUUUUCGCAUGAUUAAAGGUUUACCGGUGUAAGAUGGGGAUGCGUUCCAUUAGAUAGUAGGCGGGGUAACGCCACCUAGUCUUCGAUGGAUAGGGGUUCGUGAGAGGAAGGUCCCCGACAUUGGAACUGAGACACGGUCCGAAACUCCUACGGGAGGCA